Molecule: long non-coding RNA, 2137 nt
Organism: Anolis carolinensis (green anole)
Lineage: Eukaryota; Metazoa; Chordata; Lepidosauria; Squamata; Anolidae
Exons: 3
Source: RefSeq, a predicted model, not a curated record
GAAUGGGGCGGGGCCAGUAGCUAGGCGACGCGGAGGGAGAAAAGCCCUUCUCGGCGGCGGGGCCCAUUGAGCGGGUGCAAUAAGGCGUGAGGGGGAACUAAUCUCCCCAUUUAAAUGAAGGAAAGAAGGAAGGAGCCCUCCCACGCCAGGCCAGGCCCAGUCGCCAAACAAAACACAGAUAGCAGAUAGGCUAAAACACACAGAUACAGAGAUAGAGAAGUAUAGACGCUAAAAGCAAACCAUUCCUGAAUGUGAGUCUCCUCAAGACAUUGCCUGCAACAGCUGAUUAAUCAUUGUUGAGGACUGCAGUUUUUCCCAUCCUUCCCGAUUUACAUCUGUUCAGGCCAAUUCAAAUAUGGUGAGUAAAUGAAUUAGACAUGCAAAUUCACGCCCCGGGCUAGAAAAAAAAGGAGGGGAGGGAGACAGAAAGAGAGAGAAGGAGAGGGAGAAAAUACAGAGUGCAUGGCUGAAAUCCUAGGAUAGAAGAGCUGUUCUUCUGCCUAACAUUGUAGAGAUUUUAAUGCUGUAAAAACCCUGAAAAUAAAUCUUCCUGUCAUUUGCAGGGUAACUGUAAGGCUUCGUCGUCGUCGUCUUUUUUGUACAUGUAAGGAGGCUGCUUCUGGAGGAAGUGAAGAGUUAUGGAAACAACACACAUAGUGUGGAAAAAAAUUCACAUUUUUUUUCUUAAAAAAUCUAUAAGAAACAAGGUAUAUGGAUAACAGAAUAAUAGCAUUUUACAAUAUUCCACUCUGUUGCCUUAUAUAGUUAUUUUGCAUGUCCCCAGAAGGUGUGUGUGUUUUUUUUUUUCAGUUGGUGUUUUUCCUUUCCCUGCUUUUCAGGGUCCAUAUAUAGACAAUUAGGGUUGUUCCUUGGUCCAAAACUAGAUGCCAAGAACGGAACUCCCAUUAAGUCUUUGCAGAACGGCAUCGUUUCACACUCGCCGUCCCUGAGGAUAAAGUAUAUGUUUUCCCGUAAGCUACUGAGCAUGAAUGUCCAUCACUUGUCCACUCAUUGCUGGGUCUCCUGUGUUGAGCAUUGUGGGGCUAGUUGCUGGCAUCGGCAUUCCAGGGUGGGGUGGUCCUCCAUGCAUCAUCAUUGCUGGGUGGUGUGGGUGUCCAGGAAUGUAGGUAUGCAUGGGGGGCCCGUGGCGCAACUGAGCAGGGUGUGGGGGCAUCUGAGGUGGCGUAUAGCUCGGUUGUCCCAUGUUCAUGCCCAGCGGGCCACCCCGAGACACAUAAUCCCCUGGCAUAUUCUGCAGUCCUGGGGAAGAAGAGAGACACAUGUUAAAGGCGAAACCUGGUUUCUGGGAAAGCAGACUCACAUUAAAACUUCCUUCAGGAAUCAUCUUUUAGCACAGGAGAUCCCAGGGGAUUAUUCAAGUGAUUGCUAAAAGGCUCAUUUGUCCACAAUUUGCAACAAAGAAAAAAUGUGCAAGUUACCAAUUUUUCCUCUACCACAGAGCUUUCCAAACUGUAUGUCACGACACAUUAGAGUGUUGCCUGCAGUUUGUAGGUGUGUCAUGUGAACAUUAUAACGAGACAUCUCUAAGUCUGUGAAAUGAGCAAUAAAUCAUACGUAUGUUUAAAAUAUAAAUGGAAGUUUUUCAUGAGAUAUGUUGUACCCAUACACAUUUUGUUAUUACAAAUUAUCUGUGUGUCCGUAUCUCUUAUAGGGGGUUGAUUUAACCUCUGGUUUACUAGUAAAACUGGAUCGCUGUGUUGCAAAAGGAUGCAUGUCUUUAAAGUGCUUCACCAAGACAUAAUGUUUGAAAAGCUCUCCUCUAGCGUUUUGAAAAGAAAAAAAAAUCUUCAGCUUAAGACACACGUGUAGUAUAUAAUACAGGUAUAAAAUAUGAUCCUGUGCUUCCCCAAAGAGCCUAACUCCCAGUCAUUUCCAUUGUACUUAAAAUGCCUAGUCUGCGAAGGACAUGUGGACCACAGAGAACACUUGACAUCAAUUGCCUCCUGUAUCCUUGGCUGAGUCCCUUAGAGCACUCUUCUCUCCUCUUGCUUUUUAGAAACAUGAUCUCUUGUGUAUGAGGUGCAGUAAGACUAUGUUCCUCACAAGAAAGAACAACAAUGUAUUUGUUAUUAAAUCUGUUCUGAAAAUGAAGUAUGAUAAAGCCAGCUUCCAACAA